Molecule: long non-coding RNA, 404 nt
Organism: Leopardus geoffroyi (Geoffroy's cat)
Lineage: Eukaryota; Metazoa; Chordata; Mammalia; Carnivora; Felidae
Exons: 2
Source: RefSeq, a predicted model, not a curated record
AAUGCUCAUCAAGAAUCUCAGAGUAAUUUGGAUGAGGCAGGACCGAAAUGUGACUAUAAUUUAAAUGAGUGUAACUGUCAACACUUGCAUUUAAUCAGAAUCUCUCGUGAUGCUUUUUAGAAUUUACAGAUGUCGGGGUCCUCCCCUCAAUCUGCUGAACUGAUUUAUCUGGUGCCCAGGAAGUGGAUUUUCACAAAGCACAAGUAAUCCAAACGUGUGCCUCUAGUUAAGAACCAUGGCCAGAAACAAAGGACCUCAGAAGCAAAAUGCAUACCUAGUGGAUGGAUCUUGGUUUCUAAAUGUCACAGCCCCGAGAAAAUGAACCCUGUCCACCAGGAACCAUGAUCUUGGACUUCUCCCCUCCAGAACUGUGAGACAAUAAAUUUGUUUUCUGAGCCGCCCAA